This is a long non-coding RNA of Magallana angulata, 766 nucleotides long. RefSeq lists it as uncharacterized. The record is from RefSeq and is a predicted model, not a curated record. NCBI's taxonomy places the organism in Eukaryota, Metazoa, Mollusca, Bivalvia, Ostreida, Ostreidae. The transcript has 4 exons.
CAUUGGUAUUUAAAUUGAUUUAGUUUUUAAAAUUCCCUCAAAUUAUUCAAAAUGGCGGCUCUUGAGACCGGAAAUGCCCAGUUUUGAUGAUCGGUUAAUAAACUAACAGGUUGUAAGGAAAGAAAAUAUUACUAAAAUUUGUUUCAAUUAAAUGCAGAAUUCUUUAGAUAAUAUUAAGUAAAUAAUAUUGUUUUUUAACUAAAAUAAAUUUUAAAGAUUUAUCCCGGUAUUAAUCGUGGCUGUAUCGUGAUUGGCCAAAAUUUCAAACUUUGACUUUCGUGAAUUCUGAUUGGACAAUUGCCAUUCCGCCAUCAAAUUUUGAAAUGGGCAAAGAAGACAGGAGUUGUUGUGAAGAUUUUCCUGAUUUUUUCAAGAAAUAUUCAGAAUCACAGCGUGUUGUAUGUAGUAAUGAAACUGCAAGCAGUGGUUUCAUAAAGAUAGACAUGCUUAAGACCUGGAUGAUAUGGCUUUAGUUGUGGAUGACCAUUUCCAUUCAGGAAAAAAUUCCAACCAAGUCCAGCUAGCAGACUGUACACCAGAUUGAAGAUACAUCAUUAAUACAAGAUGAAAAAAAUUAAUGGAGGACGAGGAUAAUACUAUGAAAGAGAUCAGAUGCAAGAGCAACCGUUCCCAUAGAAAUACAUGCAGCCAUGUAAACAGAAACCAGUUUUCACCUGCCAGGUGCUGGUCACACAUAUAUUCAACUUGGAAGUUCAACAGAUUCAAGAAACAGAUCCAGUUGUUUGCUGAUAAAUUACUGCAGGUC